This 465-nucleotide ribosomal RNA is filed under the name Vreelandella stevensii. Its description in RNAcentral is "partial 16S ribosomal RNA". It matches the Rfam family "Bacterial small subunit ribosomal RNA", at positions 338 to 795 of the family's 1533-position model. Lineage: Bacteria; Pseudomonadati; Pseudomonadota; Gammaproteobacteria; Oceanospirillales; Halomonadaceae. The record is from RNAcentral.
CCUACGGGGGGCUGCAGUGGGGAAUAUUGGACAAUGGGGGCAACCCUGAUCCAGCCAUGCCGCGUGUGUGAAGAAGGCCCUCGGGUUGUAAAGCACUUUCAGUGAGGAAGAACGCCUGGUGGUUAAUACCCAUCAGGAAAGACAUCACUCACAGAAGAAGCACCGGCUAACUCCGUGCCAGCAGCCGCGGUAAUACGGAGGGUGCGAGCGUUAAUCGGAAUUACUGGGCGUAAAGCGCGCGUAGGUGGCUUGAUAAGCCGGUUGUGAAAGCCCCGGGCUCAACCUGGGAACGGCAUCCGGAACUGUCAAGCUAGAGUGCAGGAGAGGAAGGUAGAAUUCCCGGUGUAGCGGUGAAAUGCGUAGAGAUCGGGAGGAAUACCAGUGGCGAAGGCGGCCUUCUGGACUGACACUGACACUGAGGUGCGAAAGCGUGGGUAGCAAACAGGAUUAGAUACCCGAGUGGUC